Molecule: ribosomal RNA, 497 nt
Filed under: uncultured bacterium
Lineage: Bacteria
Description: partial 16S ribosomal RNA
Rfam family: Bacterial small subunit ribosomal RNA
Source: RNAcentral
GAUGAACGCUGGCGGCGUGCCUAAUACAUGCAAGUCGAGCGAACAGACGAGGAGCUUGCUCCUCUGACGUUAGCGGCGGACGGGUGAGUAACACGUGGAUAACCUACCUAUAAGACUGGGAUAACUUCGGGAAACCGGAGCUAAUACCGGAUAAUAUAUUGAACCGCAUGGUUCAAUAGUGAAAGACGGUUUUGCUGUCACUUAUAGAUGGAUCCGCGCCGCAUUAGCUAGUUGGUAAAGUAACGGCUUACCAAGGCAACGAUGCGUAGCCGACCUGAGAGGGUGAUCGGCCACACUGGAACUGAGACACGGUCCAGACUCCUACGGGAGGCAGCAGUAGGGAAUCUUCCGCAAUGGGCGAAAGCCUGACGGAGCAACGCCGCGUGAGUGAUGAAGGUCUUCGGAUCGUAAAACUCUGUUAUUAGGGAAGAACAAAUGUGUAAGUAACUAUGCACGGCUUGACGGUACCUAAUCAGAAAGCCACGGCUAACUACGUG